UACGAAGGGGGCUAGCGUUGCUCGGAAUCACUGGGCGUAAAGGGCGCGUAGGCGGCCGAUUAAGUCGGGGGUGAAAGCCUGUGGCUCAACCACAGAAUUGCCUUCGAUACUGGUUGGCUUGAGACCGGAAGAGGACAGCGGAACUGCGAGUGUAGAGGUGAAAUUCGUAGAUAUUCGCAAGAACACCAGUGGCGAAGGCGGCUGUCUGGUCCGGUUCUGACGCUGAGGCGCGAAAGCGUGGGGAGCAAACAGGAUUAGAUACCCUGGUAGUCCACGCCGUAAACGAUGUCAACUAGCCGUUGGGAUCCUUGAGAUCUUAGUGGCGCAGCUAACGCAUUAAGUUGACCGCCUGGGGAGUACGGCCGCCAAGGUUAAAACUCAAAG
This 384-nucleotide ribosomal RNA is filed under the name uncultured Methylobacteriaceae bacterium. RNAcentral's name for it is "bacterial SSU rRNA". It matches the Rfam family "Bacterial small subunit ribosomal RNA", at positions 524 to 906 of the family's 1533-position model. The record is from RNAcentral. Lineage: Bacteria; Pseudomonadati; Pseudomonadota; Alphaproteobacteria; Hyphomicrobiales; Methylobacteriaceae.